RNAcentral lists this ribosomal RNA (207 nucleotides) under uncultured bacterium. RNAcentral's name for it is "partial 16S ribosomal RNA". It matches the Rfam family "Bacterial small subunit ribosomal RNA", at positions 568 to 774 of the family's 1533-position model. The record is from RNAcentral.
CACGUAGGCGGCGAUUUAAGUCAGAGGUGAAAGCCCAUCGCUCAACGGUGGAACGGCCAUUGAUACUGUUAGACUUGAAUUAUUAGGAAGUAACUAGAAUAUGUAGUGUAGCGGUGAAAUGCUUAGAGAUUACAUGGAAUACCAAUUGCGAAGGCAGGUUACUACUAAUGGAUUGACGCUGAUGGACGAAAGCGUGGGUAGCGAACA